UGCCUCAUAGCUCAAUGGCAGAGCGACGCGCUGUUAACGCGGGGGUUGUAGGUUCAAGUCCUACUGGGGCAG
RNAcentral lists this transfer RNA (72 nucleotides) under Calothrix sp. PCC 7507. It matches the Rfam family "tRNA". From Rfam's summary of the family: Transfer RNA (tRNA) molecules are approximately 80 nucleotides in length. Their secondary structure includes four short double-helical elements and three loops (D, anti-codon, and T loops). Further hydrogen bonds mediate the characteristic L-shaped molecular structure. tRNAs have two regions of fundamental functional importance: the anti-codon, which is responsible for specific mRNA codon recognition, and the 3' end, to which the tRNAs corresponding amino acid is attached (by aminoacyl-tRNA synthetases). tRNAs cope with the degeneracy of the genetic code in two manners: having more than one tRNA (with a specific anti-codon) for a particular amino acid; and 'wobble' base-pairing, i.e. permitting non-standard base-pairing at the 3rd anti-codon position. Lineage: Bacteria; Bacillati; Cyanobacteriota; Cyanophyceae; Nostocales; Calotrichaceae. The record is from Rfam by way of RNAcentral.